CAGUCGCCGCGGUAAUGCGUAGGGGGCAAGCGUUAUCCGGAAUUACUGGGUGUAAAGGGAGCGUAGACGGUUAAACAAGUCUGAAGUGAAAUGCCGGGGCUCAACCCCGGAGCUGCUUUGGGAACUGCAGAACUGGAGUGUCGGAGGGGUAAGCGGAAUUCCCAGUGUAGCGGUGAAAUGCGUAGAUAUUGGGAGGAACACCGGCGGCGAAGGCGGCUUACUGGACGACAACUGACGUUGAGGCUCGAAGGCGUGGGUAGCAAACAGGAUUAGAGACCCCGGUAGUCCCUGUCUCUUAUAA
This 301-nucleotide ribosomal RNA is filed under the name uncultured bacterium. RNAcentral's name for it is "partial 16S ribosomal RNA". It matches the Rfam family "Bacterial small subunit ribosomal RNA", at positions 509 to 809 of the family's 1533-position model. The record is from RNAcentral.